RNAcentral lists this ribosomal RNA (386 nucleotides) under uncultured bacterium. RNAcentral describes it as "bacterial SSU rRNA". It matches the Rfam family "Bacterial small subunit ribosomal RNA", at positions 28 to 416 of the family's 1533-position model. The record is from RNAcentral.
GACGAACGCUGGCGGCGUGCUUAACACAUGCAAGUCGAGCGGUAAGGCCCUUUCGGGGUACGACGAGCGGCGAACGGGUGAGUAACACGUGGGUGACCUGCCCUUAGCUCUGGGAUAAGCCUGGGAAACGUGGGUCUAAUACCGGAUAUGACCUCAUGACGCAUGUUGUGGGGUGGAAAGCCUUGUGCGGCUAGGGAUGGACCCGCGGCCUAUCAGCUUGUUGGUGGGGUAAUGGCCACCAAGGCGACGACGGGUAGCCGGCCUGAGAGGGCGACCGGCCACACUGGGACUGAGACACGGCCCAGACUCCUACGGGAGGCAGCAGUGGGGAAUUUUGCGCAAUGGCGAAAGCCUGACGCAGCGACGCCACGUGAGGGAUGACGGCC